AUACGUAGGGUGUGAGCGUUGUCCGGAAUUACUGGGUAUAAAGGGUGCGUAGGCGGGCUACUGCGUCGGGGGUUAAAUAUCUCGGCUUAACCGAGGGGAUGCCUUCGAAACGAGUAGUCUUGAAUAUGAGAGAGGAUGAUAGAAUUCCUGGUGUAGCGGUGAAAUGCGUAGAUAUCAGGAGGAAUACCGGUGGCGAAGGCGGUCAUCUGGCUCAUAAUUGACGCUGAGGCACGAAAGCGCGGGGAUCAAACAGGAUUAGAUACCCUGGUAGUCCACGCCCUAAACUAUGUAUGCUUGGUGUUGGGAUUUAAAUUUCAGUGCCGGAGGGAAUCCGAUAAGCAUACCACCUGGGGAGUACGAUCGCAAGGUUGAA
RNAcentral lists this ribosomal RNA (373 nucleotides) under uncultured bacterium. RNAcentral's name for it is "bacterial SSU rRNA". It matches the Rfam family "Bacterial small subunit ribosomal RNA", at positions 523 to 898 of the family's 1533-position model. The record is from RNAcentral.